Molecule: ribosomal RNA, 467 nt
Filed under: uncultured bacterium
Lineage: Bacteria
Description: partial 16S ribosomal RNA
Rfam family: Bacterial small subunit ribosomal RNA
Source: RNAcentral
GACGAACGCUGGCGGCGUGCUUAACACAUGCAAGUCGAACGGAAAGGCCCUGCUUUUGUGGGGUGCUCGAGUGGCGAACGGGUGAGUAACACGUGAGUAACCUGCCCUUGACUUUGGGAUAACUUCAGGAAACUGGGGCUAAUACCGGAUAGGAGCUCCUGCUGCAUGGUGGGGGUUGGAAAGUUUCGGCGGUUGGGGAUGGACUCGCGGCUUAUCAGCUUGUUGGUGGGGUAGUGGCUUACCAAGGCUUUGACGGGUAGCCGGCCUGAGAGGGUGACCGGCCACAUUGGACUGAGAUACGGCCCAGACUCCUACGGGAGGCAGCAGUGGGGAAUAUUGCACAAUGGGCGGAAGCCUGAUGCAGCACCGCCGCGUGCGGGAUGACGGCCUUCGGGUUGUAAACCGCUUUCGCCUGUGACGAAGCGUGAGUGACGGUAAUGGGUAAAGAAGCACCGGCUAACUACGUG